AAUAUACUCCCUCCCUCCGAAAAAUUUUGUCAUCAAAAUGGAUAAAAAGAGAUGUAUCUAAAACUAAAAUACAUUUAGAUACAUCCUCUUUUAUCCAUUGUGAUGACAAGUAUUUUCGGACGGAGGGAGUACAUA
Triticum aestivum (bread wheat) is the source of this 135-nucleotide non-coding RNA. NCBI's taxonomy places the organism in Eukaryota, Viridiplantae, Streptophyta, Magnoliopsida, Poales, Poaceae. The record is from Rfam.